CAACUUUUAUGGCUACUAUUCAAAAACUGAAAGUUUAGAAACAAUCAAGGAAGAAAGAAACCACUAACCUGAUGGCUGUACGCCCUUUUGAGCAGAAACCAAGUGGAGGCAGCAGCCAGAGAAGAAAGCAUCCACUGAAGGAAGCUGCCAGCUCCAGCCCAGUUCCCGGGAGUGCAGGCCCAAUAACAGGGUGCUAGGAGCAGGAAGUCUGGUGCUCAUGGGAGGAGAAUUGCUACAGCCAAUCAUAAGGUGUGGGUGCGAGGCAUCCUGAAACAGUUAACCCACAGCCUAGCCACUAGAUGACUACAGUCACGUUACGGAACCCAACGAAGUUGGCCAUGCAUGGCCCACAUCUGCAGAACCUCCCAUCAGACUAGGUGGCCUGGGGGAUUGGCUACAAGCUCACUGAUGGUCUUGUUUCAAGAAGAUACGAACAUCUGGAGCAAUCACAACAUCUGGAGAAAACGGAGCUGUAGAUUUUAAUGGAAGAUGUACCUGGUUUUUUUUUUUUUUUUUUUUUAAGUCAUUCAACCCAUUGCUAAAAUAGAAGGACAUCCAGUCUCCCAGAUGAAACACAGGCUCAAUUAGAAAUUGUGCUGAAAUUCGAAAUUACAACCAUUUCUCCCCCUAAACGACAGGAUUACAUGGCAUCGCUGAGGAACUGACAGGUAAUUUGAGAAACUAAGGUUCCUCAGACUCUGUAGUUAAUGGAGAAUUUAGCACCAAUUCCUGUGUAAUUUGCACUUCUGAGAAGCAGAAUUAUUAUAAAGUCAGACAUCUCCAGCACUUUCAACUCUUGGAUCUGCCAGGCUUUAAGAUGACCAGGAAUGUAGAAGGACUAGGGUCAGAGGUCACCAUUUCAAUAUCUGAGGCUGCCUGGCUCCCCCAAACUGGCAUUUGAACUGAAGAGUUGGAAAUUGGAGGUGACAUUCAGAAGUCUCUGAAAAUUAUAACCCCGACUUCCUCCUGGAGACGCUUAUCUGAAUCCUAGCUUACCCUUUGAUGGGGUUACUGAAAAGGCACUCUGCUCCGAGCUCUUGAAAGAUAACAGACAGCGCCAGUGAGGCCCCGGUGUAUCCCUUGGGGAAAAACAGUAGCAGUUGUAACAAGCGGGGACACUAAUUAAAGGUCUCGACAACUUUGUGAGGAUGAGGGA
This is a non-coding RNA of Arvicanthis niloticus (Nile rat), 1156 nucleotides long. NCBI's taxonomy places the organism in Eukaryota, Metazoa, Chordata, Mammalia, Rodentia, Muridae. The record is from RefSeq and is a predicted model, not a curated record.